RNAcentral lists this transfer-messenger RNA (132 nucleotides) under Bartonella sp. RNAcentral describes it as "partial ssrA". It matches the Rfam family "Alphaproteobacteria transfer-messenger RNA", at positions 204 to 335 of the family's 355-position model. Rfam says of the family: Bacterial tmRNA, also known as 10Sa RNA or SsrA, is named for its dual tRNA and mRNA-like properties. Its role is to liberate the mRNA from a stalled ribosome. To accomplish this part of the tmRNA is used as a reading frame that ends in a translation stop signal. The record is from RNAcentral. Lineage: Bacteria; Pseudomonadati; Pseudomonadota; Alphaproteobacteria; Hyphomicrobiales; Bartonellaceae.
CCACCGUUAUCGGACUAAAUGAGUAGUUGCAAAUGACAACUUCGUGGAAGCACGUCUCGCUGCUUGAUGUGGUGUGAAUGCUUCAAAUUAAGCCUUAAGCUGUCACAAGUUUAAGCGGGGUUCGGAGGCACC